RNAcentral lists this long non-coding RNA (280 nucleotides) under Vulpes vulpes (red fox). RNAcentral describes it as "lncRNA (ENSVVUG00000027376.1)". The record is from RNAcentral. Lineage: Eukaryota; Metazoa; Chordata; Mammalia; Carnivora; Canidae.
UGUUUUUGUUCACAUGUAUAAUUAUUAUUAUUUUUUUAUGAUUGUCAUCUAGAUCACAUGGAGCAAGGGAUCAAGAGCUGAUAAGCCUGACUUUUUCAGUCUUCUUAUUAUUUCUUCAGCAGGAUAUUUGAUGAACACUGGGGGCCACAUGGGUGCAGUAGGAUUUCUUUAUGUUUGACUGUCCUGGGCUCUCAAGGUGGAUGAGGAAUACUUCAAACAGGCUUAACACAGAUGGGAUUUUUCAAAUGAAAACCAGAUGAAAGUAAACAGCAAUCUCACC